This is a long non-coding RNA of Bos taurus (domestic cattle), 964 nucleotides long. The record is from Ensembl. Lineage: Eukaryota; Metazoa; Chordata; Mammalia; Artiodactyla; Bovidae.
CCUGAGUUCAUCAUUGGUAUUAUGACUGCUGCUGCUGCUGCUAAGUCGCUUCAGUCGUGUCCGACUCUGUGCGACCCCAUAGACGGCAGCCCACCAGGCUCCCCUGUCCCUGGGAUUCUCCAGGAACUGUCUCCAGGAGCUGCAACUCGCUCCCUCAAGAAAAGUACUUAUCCCCACCAGCAGGGGGCAAAACUGAGAUACCUUCUGAGGGUUCCACCCCAGCUCUGGACGGCUUUGAGAAAGUGCCUUCACAUCCAAUCUCAACACCUUUGAUUUAUUCUUUAUUUUCAAAUGAGGGGCCCCUGGGGUAUCUCGACUCACAACUGCAAGGAAGCCGGAGCCGGCGCUGCGACGCUGAGCGGACCAGCGGGGCCAUUCUGGCCGCUGGCUGUGGCCGACCUGGGAGAGAGGAAGGAAAUGUAUUUUCGGGACUCUCCCAGCCGGCGUUGGAAACGCGGCAGCAGAUUCUCAGCUCCAUUCCCGCGGCGGUCGGCUUCUCAGACUCACGCGGGAUCCUGGGUAGCGACCUCAGUGAAGGGAGCGCGGGCAUCUGAGCUUGGCGAUGCCACCGAGACACAGGCUUCGGACCGAGUUUUGACCCGCCUGUGCCUCUUCUUCCUUUUCUCUAGCCAGCGGCUACCGCUGCCCAGCUUCAUCCAAAGGGGGCACUCGGGGCUAGGCCGAGAACCCUAGAUAAGGUCCACUGUAACUAAGAACCCGGGGUUAAGUGGAGGCCAUCCCACUGGACUCCGCAGUCUUCCACUUCUAAGGAUGUUCCUGGCUAACCUCCCUCCUCUUUCUCUCUCACCUCUCCAUAGUAAGCAGAAGUGGCGCUCUUGUUGGCAAGGAUCGGAAUGGCGGAAGCUUGUGCCUUCUCUCUUUGCUCCGUUUCUCGCGUCUUCACACGGUUGUCUCACUCGGAGACUCCUAAAUUCUGCCUGGGGAACACUUUCCGCGUUAAUUA